CUACGGGGGGCUGCAGUGGGGAAUAUUGGACAAUGGGGGAAACCCUGAUCCAGCAAUGCCGCGUGUGUGAAGAAGGCCUGCGGGUUGUAAAGCACUUUCGGUUGGGAGGACUGCUUCUAGCACUAAUAUUGUUGGAAGUUGACGUUACCUUCAGAAGAAGCACCGGCUAACUCCGUGCCAGCAGCCGCGGUAUACGGAGGGUGCAAGCGUUAAUCGGACUUACUGGGCGUAAAGCGCGCGUAGGCGGCUAGAUCAGUCGGGUGUGAAAGCCCCGGGCUUAACCUGGGAACUGCAUCCGAUACUGUCUAGCUUGAGUACAGGAGAGGAGAGUGGAAUUCCACAUGUAGCGGUGAAAUGCGUAGAUAUGUGGAGGAACACCAAUGGCGAAGGCAGCUCUCUGGCCUGAUACUGACGCUGAGGUGCGAAAGCGUGGGGAGCAAACAGGAUUAGAUACCCGGGUAGUC
Molecule: ribosomal RNA, 464 nt
Filed under: uncultured bacterium
Lineage: Bacteria
Description: partial 16S ribosomal RNA
Rfam family: Bacterial small subunit ribosomal RNA
Source: RNAcentral